RNAcentral lists this ribosomal RNA (253 nucleotides) under uncultured bacterium. Its description in RNAcentral is "partial 16S ribosomal RNA". It matches the Rfam family "Bacterial small subunit ribosomal RNA", at positions 524 to 776 of the family's 1533-position model. The record is from RNAcentral.
UACGUAGGGAGCAAGCGUUGUUCGGAUUUACUGGGCGUAAAGGGCGCGUAGGCGGCGCGGUAAGUCACUUGUGAAAUCUCUGAGCUUAACUCAGAACGGCCAAGUGAUACUGCAGUGCUAGAGUGCAGAAGGGGCAAUCGGAAUUCUUGGUGUAGCGGUGAAAUGCGUAGAUAUCAAGAGGAACACCUGAGGUGAAGACGGGUUGCUAGGCUGACACUGACGCUGAGGCGCGAAAGCCAGGGGAGCAAACAGG